Molecule: ribosomal RNA, 464 nt
Filed under: Vreelandella stevensii
Lineage: Bacteria; Pseudomonadati; Pseudomonadota; Gammaproteobacteria; Oceanospirillales; Halomonadaceae
Description: partial 16S ribosomal RNA
Rfam family: Bacterial small subunit ribosomal RNA
Source: RNAcentral
CCUACGGGGUGCUGCAGUGGGGAAUAUUGGACAAUGGGCGAAAGCCUGAUCCAGCCAUGCCGCGUGUGUGAAGAAGGCCUUCGGGUUGUAAAGCACUUUCAGUGGGGAAGAAAGCCUUGGGGCUAAUACCCUCGAGGAAGGACAUCACCCACAGAAGAAGCACCGGCUAACUCCGUGCCAGCAGCCGCGGUAAUACGGAGGGUGCGAGCGUUAAUCGGAAUUACUGGGCGUAAAGCGCGCGUAGGCGGUCUGAUAAGCCGGUUGUGAAAGCCCCGGGCUCAACCUGGGAACGGCAUCCGGAACUGUCAGGCUAGAGUGCAGGAGAGGAAGGUAGAAUUCCCGGUGUAGCGGUGAAAUGCGUAGAGAUCGGGAGGAAUACCAGUGGUGAAGGCGGCCUUCUGGACUGACACUGACGCUGAGGUGCGAAAGCGUGGGUAGCAAACAGGAUUAAUACCCGGGUAGUC